RNAcentral lists this transfer RNA (73 nucleotides) under Phakopsora pachyrhizi. RNAcentral describes it as "tRNA-Ser". It matches the Rfam family "tRNA". From Rfam's summary of the family: Transfer RNA (tRNA) molecules are approximately 80 nucleotides in length. Their secondary structure includes four short double-helical elements and three loops (D, anti-codon, and T loops). Further hydrogen bonds mediate the characteristic L-shaped molecular structure. tRNAs have two regions of fundamental functional importance: the anti-codon, which is responsible for specific mRNA codon recognition, and the 3' end, to which the tRNAs corresponding amino acid is attached (by aminoacyl-tRNA synthetases). tRNAs cope with the degeneracy of the genetic code in two manners: having more than one tRNA (with a specific anti-codon) for a particular amino acid; and 'wobble' base-pairing, i.e. permitting non-standard base-pairing at the 3rd anti-codon position. The record is from RNAcentral. Lineage: Eukaryota; Fungi; Basidiomycota; Pucciniomycetes; Pucciniales; Phakopsoraceae.
GCGCACUUAGCUCAAAUGGUAAGAGCAUCACUCUGGAAAGUUGAGGUUGUGGGUUUGAUUCCCAUAGUGCACA